GCCUGGCUGGCUCAGUCAGUAGAGCAUGGGAUUCUUGAUCUUCGGGUUGUGAGUUCAAGCCCCACAUUAGGCA
Molecule: transfer RNA, 73 nt
Organism: Felis catus (domestic cat)
Lineage: Eukaryota; Metazoa; Chordata; Mammalia; Carnivora; Felidae
Rfam family: tRNA
About the family: Transfer RNA (tRNA) molecules are approximately 80 nucleotides in length. Their secondary structure includes four short double-helical elements and three loops (D, anti-codon, and T loops). Further hydrogen bonds mediate the characteristic L-shaped molecular structure. tRNAs have two regions of fundamental functional importance: the anti-codon, which is responsible for specific mRNA codon recognition, and the 3' end, to which the tRNAs corresponding amino acid is attached (by aminoacyl-tRNA synthetases). tRNAs cope with the degeneracy of the genetic code in two manners: having more than one tRNA (with a specific anti-codon) for a particular amino acid; and 'wobble' base-pairing, i.e. permitting non-standard base-pairing at the 3rd anti-codon position.
Source: Rfam